This 2422-nucleotide unclassified non-coding RNA is filed under the name Leishmania donovani. RNAcentral's name for it is "gene:LdHU3.36.5050(CDS-product:Protein_of_unknown _function_(DUF2009)_putative)". The record is from RNAcentral. Lineage: Eukaryota; Euglenozoa; Kinetoplastea; Trypanosomatida; Trypanosomatidae.
GUGCACCGACGAAACAAAAAGGAAAAGAGAGAGACCGCUCCUCCACGCGUAUCCGAGCGUGUGCUUGCAUUCGUUCGGGUUCGUGCAUGCACGCCGCUUUGGUCACCGCAGAGACAACCAAACGUAGAGAAGCGAACGGUCCGUCAGUUACACACACACACACACACACGAUCUCUCACGCCCUCUUUUUGUUUUUGUGUUCACUCUCAUUUGGAGAGGUCUUCGCAACACGUGGCGCGCAGCGGCAACAGCACACAAGUGGUACCCUCUCGGCAGGUGUACGUGUGGGCGGUUUCUUUUUUUUAUAUAUGGCGGUGCUACCCCCUCUUCUCUUGUCUUCUCUUUUUCCCUUUGCGCGUGCCGUGCCCAUACACUGAGGCACCCGCAGGAGCUGGUGGAGGAAGAUAGGCUUGCUGGCCACGACAGCGCUCCGUCACUCGACCGUCUGUCCCUCGUGAAACUGCCAGCCGUGGCGCGCGUGUGUGCGGUGGUCCGGUGGAGGAAGCGGGUAAAGGUGGUACCGCAGCCUUCUCUUUUGCUGAGUAGAUAGCAGCUCAAGCGCAAAACUCUCUUUCCACGGGAGCGACUGUGCGUCGGUGUAGACGCCAUUGAACAAGGCACACAGGGUCGAAACAACAGCACGUAGCCAUGCACUUCUCUCAAUACCCUCUCCGGCUGACGGACCUGGAGCGGCAGAAGCUGCAGCUCAUCGUGGCGGCACUGAAAGUGAGUGAGUACACGGACGAUGUUGAUGACUUCAUGCGCCCUUAUGGGAAGGAGGGACGCAUGGAGGCGGCUAUGCGCGAGUUCAUCGACAUCGUUGUCGGACUUGCGAUUGCCUCGGAUGCCAUUCCACGUUCCGUGAAGAAUUCUUUUCUCGCAGGGGAGGUUAAGGUGGCCACGGUGGUGCCGCUGCUGGAAGACCUCUUUGAGAUUAUGCGUCGCCACAAGCGCCUGAACCCCUUCAGCCACCGCGGCGAGUUUGGCAAGCUAAUGAUGAUGCUGCAGGAUGUGCAGAAGCGGUCUAUUCAGCGCGCACUUGAAAUCCAAAGCACGCUCGUCAUACCGGUGCGCACCGUGGAGGCGGCCCUCUCUAGUAUCCACUGCGAGACCCUCGCUGACGACGAGGCCGUGCGCACUGAUUAUCUGAAAAGGACGGGGACUGAGAAGCAGGCUGGCAUGCAGAGCCUCAUCGAACGCUACAGCAAAGGCGAUGGGCACAAGAAGGAGAUCAUCGCGCACUGCCUGCGCAGCAUUGACGAUGUGUAUUCGUUCAUUCAGUCCAACACGCGGCCGCUUCGUACCUUGCGGCGCUGGCUGAGCCGCGACUUUGAGCCUCUUCCUUCAGACAACGCCUACAGCAUCUCCAUUCGCCACGGCCGCAGCGGCGCCUGCUUCACGCACAGCCACGCGACGCACUGCCAGUACGUCACUGAGUCGCUGCUGCUGUGGGAAAACGUGCAAAAGAACAUUUUGAAUCUGUGGGAGGCCGCCGAGGACGACAUGCUCGUGGAGGGGCAGGGUCAAUACGUCGUGGCAAAUACCGGGCAGGGGUUUCACCGCAUGUGCUCGGCACCGAGGAGCUACGGGGUCAUGUCUCGCCUCGUGCGCGACACGGAGCAGCGCAUGGGCGGAUGGGUUGGUAUAAAGGUGAUUCACCUGGGCGAUCGCGACGUGCCGAACCCGCUGGUGUUCAUCGAUAAGUACACCGUCAUCCCUCGGUUGGUAAAACCGGUUGUGCAGACGCUGCAUGCGCUGCGCUACGUCUUCCACGAGGAGGACGAGGAAGAGGAAGGGCAGCCGCAGGUGGUGCACGAGUACGACAACUACCCCGGCCUGCGAAACCUGCUGCGCUCCAAGUAUCAUAGCUACGGCGAGUUGAUGAUGAUGAUCCUGAGCGACUUCUUCAAGCAUGCCUUCGACGGCUCUGGCGACGACGGCGGCAGCUGCAUCGACGGAAGGCUUACAUCCGCGUGGAAUUGGUGCCAUCAACUGCACAAGAAGAAGUACUACGACGCAUUCGUCUUGACAGGCUUUGCGGGGUUCGAUUGAACCCCCUUACCCCUCGUUUUGCGUGAUGGGCGUGUGCUGCAACGCCGACGACCAAGUCACAGUAGCUGUCCCCGUGUGUGCGCUUUCUGAAACGUUCGCGUGCAUCUCGCUCGCUGUUCUCACUUGCUCCUUGUCUCCAGUUCCUACCUCCCACUGAUGAACUCGAGGUUGUGCGCUCUCUGUCGGGCUUGUUGCAUGCUCUUAUCUCUUUCCAUCUGGCGCGUGUGUCUGGGCUUGUGCGCUUGUGCUUUUUUCUCUCCGUACAAUGGGCCCCCGUCCCCGCCUCUUCCGUUUCGCUGUUGCCUCCAUCGACUGGCACGCUGAACGAAAGGGGAAGCAGUACUCCAUAGCGACCAGCAACAGCAGUAAC